RNAcentral lists this ribosomal RNA (503 nucleotides) under uncultured bacterium. RNAcentral's name for it is "bacterial SSU rRNA". It matches the Rfam family "Bacterial small subunit ribosomal RNA", at positions 412 to 925 of the family's 1533-position model. The record is from RNAcentral.
CGGCCUUCGGGUUGUAAACCUCUUUCACCUGUGACGAAGCGAAAGUGACGGUAGCAGGAGAAGAAGCACCGGCCAACUACGUGCCAGCAGCCGCGGUAAUACGUAGGGUGCAAGCGUUGUCCGGAAUUACUGGGCGUAAAGAGCUCGUAGGCGGUUUGUCGCGUCGUCUGUGAAAACUCACAGCUCAACUGUGAGCUUGCAGGCGAUACGGGCAGACUUGAGUAUUGCAGGGGAGACUGGAAUUCCUGGUGUAGCGGUGAAAUGCGCAGAUAUCAGGAGGAACACCGGUGGCGAAGGCGGGUCUCUGGGCAAAUACUGACGCUGAGGAGCGAAAGCAUGGGUAGCAAACAGGAUUAGAUACCCUGGUAGUCCAUGCCGUAAACGGUGGGCGCUAGGUGUGGGUUUCCUUCCACGGGAUCCGUGCCGUAGCUAACGCAUUAAGCGCCCCGCCUGGGGAGUACGGCCGCAAGGCUAAAACUCAAAGGAAUUGACGGAAUCGAAUU